Molecule: long non-coding RNA, 1967 nt
Organism: Vulpes vulpes (red fox)
Lineage: Eukaryota; Metazoa; Chordata; Mammalia; Carnivora; Canidae
Source: Ensembl
AUGUACCAACUCAUCAGAAGUCCUGUGCCAUCUGGGAAAGCUGAGUGGGAGUUAAAGUUCCCUGUUUCUGGGCCCUGCAUCUCCCAGGUGACUAGCAAUCCCUCCAGCCCUUCAGGCUUCAAGAAUCCAAGCCAUUUCCUCUCUACUGUCCCUUCUGCACUGAGUACCUCAAUGGAGUUCCCUAACCUUUGUGAGCUAAGUUUGUUGGGUAUAGUGGUGGUGGUGGUGGUGGUGGUGGUGGUGGUGGUGGUGGUGGUGGUUGGUGGUGGUGGUGGUGGUGGUGGUGGUAAUGCUGCUUCUGGUGGGUGGGUGGGUGAAUGGUUGGCUUAUUUGCUUUCUUGUGUAAAACAAAGGGUUGUUAAUUUCCCAGGAGGCAAGAAAAAUUCAAUCCACCAAGACUUUAAUUGCUUUCUUGAGGGAGGGUGGAGGGAAAAAUACUUUUAUUCUUUCAACAGAAGAAAAUAGAGUUAAGGUCUCAGUCAGGUUAAUCUGCCAUAUAAAUAUCUCUGGAAUCUUGUUCUGGCUCUCCACCGCCAGGAUCACUGGUCACUAUCCAGUAGCUCUUGCCUACUGGAUACCACCCGACCUCUCUGUUUCUGGUCCCCACUCGAUUCUUCUCCAUACUGAAACUAGAGUGACCUUUCUAAGACAAUAAUCUGAUGAGGUUUAAAAUCUCUUUGCCAGUUAAGAGACUGGCAUGUGAUCCAAUUCAGAUCAAUGAGAUGUGAAAAGAGUCUUGCCAAGAUUUCUGGGAAAGCUCUUCUUUUUCUUCUGUGAGAUUCUCUGCCUUUCUCUGAAUGUGGUUGUGUGCCGUCUUGCCUCCAAAGGAAGGGUAAAGGAAGUCAGAGUCAUUGAGUUAAAUCAACCCUGAAGACUGUCUUAUCUCUAGACUUCCUGUUAGAGUUUUUUCUUUUAUAUAUAUAUAUUUCAGAUGAUCAAAAAUAUGGAACAGACAUUGGUUGCAAAAUAAUGUAAACACACAUAAUACUGAAAUGUGCACUUAAAAGAUUAAAAUGUUAAAUUUUAUGUUGAGUGUAUUUUACUUCAAUGAAAAAAGUUACAACAAUAGAAAUAUGGAACAAAUAGUAUAAUGGCUACUUGUGUAUCUAGCAUCCAAAUUGAAAAUUUCCCUAUUAAUUAGGCUAACUUGAGUUGGAUUUUUGGUGACUUGGACCAAGCAAAUACAUGCUAGGUAAUGCAGAAUUUGGUGGCAAUAAGUAUGACUGUUGCAGUGAACAGAUCUUAAACUGAUGGAAUUGGCUGAUCUGAAGAGAUGGGCUUGAUCAUGGGCUGGAAAGUCUGCAAUCCUUUUUGGGUGGUUGUGAUAUACUUGGUUUAUCUGCCUCUUGAAAUUUAAUGGGAAAUUUAAAAAUCUAGGGAUCUUGUUCAAAUGAGGAUUCCAAUUCAGUAGGUCUAGGGUGGGGGACCAAGAGUCUGCAGUUUUAACAAACUCCCAGAUGAUGCCAGUGUUGCUGAUCCAUGAACCACACUUUGAAUAGCAAGGAGUUAAACCAAUAUACCCUUGAGGAGGGACCAUAUACCAUGCAGGCUGUUGCAUCAGGAGGAUGGUGGAGAAAAUUCAGGAUGUUGGACUAUGUUAGCAACUUACAGCCCUGGGUAGGGUUUUAUGAGGGACAUUCUUUUUUUUUUUUUUUUUUUUUUUUUAAGGGUUUUUUAAUUUAUUCAUGAGAGACACAGGGACAGAGGCAAAGACAAAGGCAGAGGGAGAAGCAGGCUCAUCACAGGGACCCCGAUGCGGGACUUGAUCCCUGCACCCAAGAUCAUGCCCGGAGCCAAAGGCAGACGCUGAACUGCUGGGCCACCCAGGCGUCCCAUAUGAAAGACAUUCUUAGCCUCACACUGGCCUGUGUGAAAACAGAGAAAGAAGAAAAUACAUUUCUGUUAAGAAAGGUUCUCACUCUGUGAACUGCAAUAAAGAAAUAGCUGAAAUUUUAAUAAUGUGAUUG